UUAAAAUGGGCUAGCAAGCCAAAUUUGUCUCUCAUACAACUACUGACAUCAACACAAGGCCCCCUGUGUUUGAACAGCAGCUGUCACAAUUUGUUUCCUGAAUAAAGGUUAGCCAAAAUUAAACCUGGAUAGAGACAGCAGGUAUUUUGCAGAUAUUCUGGUCUUGCGAUGAGCAUUGAGCAAGUCCUGGAAGAGCAGGUUUUGAGGGGUGCACAAGAUAUGCUGACUUUUCAUUUCCUCUGUCCACUGAUAACUCUUCCCUCCCCACACUGGUGGUGGUCCAAAUGAUGUCUUUUUUAGCAAGAUAGUCAAACACAGUUUUAAAAGUAAAUGCAUACAUUGCACUUGUCAUCUCAAGAGCCUAAAAAGUACAGAUGGGCAUUAAUUAAUCAACACAACAUCUCUGCAAGUUAAAGAAAUAUUUUUAUCCCCUGUGUGGAAACUGAGGCAUGAGGAAGUGAAGUGUCUUAUAAAAGGUCAAAAAAGAAGUUCAUCACAAAAGAAUAGAACAUGCCUAACUGGUGAUUACUGUGGGCUAGGAAAUACUCCACAUAAUUGAUUAAGAUACGUUCUUUGUUUUUCAUUGUUUAUUCCUGCUGAGAGAUGCUCUUUGCCCACAAACUGCUGGACCAAGACUGAAUGUUAAUCAGUAUGUCACACCCUGUUGGUCUUCAGCCCAAGUCAAGUCACUGCAGUCUGUAAUUCGUGUGUGAGAGUUGGUCCAAAGAUGGAGCAGUAUUUGCCUGAACAUCACCAUCAAGAACCUAGAGAACUGAAGCUGAGACUGAAAGAACCCAUGGACAAUGACUUGGAGAGAGGCCCGAGGAGAAGCAUUGUGUUGCACUGUUUCUCCGAUACGGGGUGGCUCCUGCUAACAAUGUCUGUUGUGUGGACUUUGGCUGCUUCUCCAGCCAAACCAGCCCCUGCCCCCUGAAAGCUAUUGUUAUGAGGGUCUCUUCGACCCAGAAACAAUAGCCACUGUCCAGAAGAAUGUGUUCUCACUUGCUGCCUCAGUUACACGUGUCCCUCACCCAUUCCCUCAAACAAUGGCCAAUGAAAAGGAGCUUGCCCAGAAGCUCGCCAAGGGUCCUGAGGUCACCCAAUGGACUAGAGAAAGACCCCUGAAUGCUGGACACGUAAGCAUUGGCAAAAGAAAGAGUGAAUCUUUCGACCCUGCGCAGUACGAGCCUGGGCUGCGAAAACAAUGGGAACAAGGUGGGGUGAAGAAGCAUAAAAGGUGACUCCAGAAUGGACACCAUGGAAGAUCUUCCCACCAGAGGAUCCCGAACCAUGACGGAGGACCGGCCAGACUCCAUUGGACCCGGAGACCAGAGGGACGCUUCUGGAACUGGACUGAACUCCGCAGUGCUCUGAGCAGCGCUGAUGGGGACACAAAGCAAGAAGCGGAGACCUACGAUGCAAGAGUAAAGCUGCCCUCUGCAGGUUAUCUUAACCAGGAAAACAACAACAACAACAACACAUGACCAACUUAAAAAGGACCAAAAGAGACUCUGGAAGAUGUGGCAUCUGCAUUUCCCAGUGGGAAUCUCUCCAUACAUUGAAGUGCUGGCACCAACACAAAGCCAAAUGCAGGGACUGGCUCCCGGCCUGCCCAGCCUGUGGUGUGAGGUGGGUGUCUGGCUCCAACCCCUCCGAGCCACAUGAGCUCUGUGCCCAUGAGCAGGGGUCUGUGGGCUGCUGGCAGUGGGCAGAGAGCCAGAGCCGCAGGGAGAUUUGCUGCAAGGGCUCAUUCCCUUUGCAUCCCAGUACAAGGCACUGAUGAAAGGAGUGGGGAGACUGACACACAGAGGGCAUUUCUUGAAUGGUUUGAAAGUGGCUUUUCCCCCUUCCAGCUUGUGAAUCCCCCAGGAUGGCAAUGGCUCAGUUGCUCCUGACUGAAGAGGUGAUGCUCAGUCUCCUACAACUCAGAGGAGACUGAGCUUUUGCUAAAGACUAAGAGCAAUUUGCAGUUUCCUGGCUGAGGAAAACACAGUGUACUGUACUCUGACAACCAGUAAGUCCUUCCCACUCACUGAUGCCCUACUUCCCAACCUGUCUAAUACCACCAAACUCAUCUAAUAUUUGCAACCACUUCUGAACCCUUCUGCAAUCCUUCUAGCACACCCAUAGUUUGUAGAGAUGCUGCAAUGUGUGUUUCUCAAAUGCACUUAUGCCUUCACUUGCUCCAGUGCUUGUGUCUUUCAUACUGAAGCUUUGGCCCAGCCAUUCAUGUCGGCACACAUGAAAGAAGAUCAAGGGAUAAAUAAAAGUUCUUUUACUGGAUUAUCUUUCAAGUUGAGCAGCACUUUGAAUGCAGUCAUCACACAGAGGCACAGGCAGAGGGACUUUUUCAAUGAAAGGGUCUGGGGAAGCAUGGAGGAAGAAGGAGAGGAGGAAAAAAGCUGGGGGUAAGUUACACCAGUUGGAUGAAUUUUGUAGCCAAAUGUGAAAUCUGAGCCUGUGAAACACAGACUGACACAAAGGCGUGGCCAAGUAAGGACUGGACUUGUUGUGGCCAUGCUGCAUGUAGGCCUGCUCUUUACCAACAAAUCUUACAAGCUCAAUGUCACCAGCAACAAUGCCCACCUGCCAAAACACUUGAAGCUACAGCUGUGGCAUCACUGACUUGUUAGAAGCUGUGCUGUCCCAGAAGUGGACAAGUGGAUGUCAAUCAUUGCCCAUUUGAUGCCUCUGCAUUAUGUAAGAGACUGUCAUGUCAGCUCUUGGUAGCUUUCCCUACUGUGUGCUUACUAAAUCGCUGUGAAAGGCUCAGAUGUUCAUUCCUGCAUGCUUUUAGGUCCACAGGUCUUUAACAAUGAAGAUAUUUUCCAGGUCUUGCAUGAUAAGGUAUGUAGUCCAUAUGCAUGUGUACAUCACAGAACAACAGAAUGACUAAGGUUGGAAAGGACUUCUGGAAGUCAUCUGGUCCAACCCGCUCGCAACAAAGCAGGUUGCCCUGGACCAAGUUCAGAUGGCUUUUAAAUGUCUUAGCCUUCUCUUUGAUGUUCUCAUCCAGAUGCUUAGGCACUAGAAGCAGCAAUGUCUCUCUCAAGUUCUCACUUCUCCUGAAUGUCACCUCUUCAUAAACAUGCACUAGUGUAGUGUGUCGCAAAUGUGGCACACACUCCCUCAACCAAGAAGAGACUUCAUGCAGAAUUUUCAGCACUGCUGCAUUUCCCUUAAGAGACAGAGCACAAAAGAUGAUAUAGCUAGAAAACAAGCAGCAUGUCAGAUCUCCACUGGUCUUUCUCAUCAGAGUCAGCUCUAAUAACAGCUCUGAGGCUGUAGAACUGCGUGACCCAAAUAGAACAGCACCUACUCUAUUAAGUAUGAGGACUUCUACAAGAUGAUUUUUGUGCUCGAUAAGCACUCUCUGAUAAACCUGUCCUGAGGAAGAAGCCAGCUUGUUGGCCUGAAAGAAAACACCUCAAGUAGCUUCCCUGUUAGGGCAGUCUGGUGUCUCUCCAGCAUCUGAGAUUCCAGUGUAACAUGGGAGAAAAACAGAAGCAGAUAUCCAAAACAGAGUCCAGUUCAACCAGUGGUUACGCAUAAAGAGCCCCCGGUAUAAAACUGAAUUUAUAAACUGUACGUAAAUAGCUUCCCCAUGUCAUUCCAUAGGCACAGAUUUUGUAGGGAAGCUAAAUAGCUGGCACUCCUCCCAGCACUACCUGGUACAUGAUGUGUAGCCUGUGCCAUGUAAUGAAGAAAUGACAUGCAGCUAUGCACUCCCUACCUCUUAAGCCCUCCUGGCCCAUGCUAAAUAAAACACCAGACCGAUAUCCAGCCAGGCUGGUGGGCUGAUGGUGGUCAUCAGUGUGGCCAUCAUGGUGCACAGGGAGAGAGCACAUACUGCACAUUCAGAAAUGUUGGUUCUGAUCACUCAGCCUAGCUGCAGAACUUAGCAAGAAUUGAAGACACGUUUGUGAGUAAGAGGAGACAAAAUUCUAGACAAGCUAUAAUUGGCAAACCUGAGUGAGAACAAGGAGUGAUGUAAGAUCUCCUUCACCUGAUUAAGUGAUGCCUGGAAAUGUUUCAACAAUGCAGUAGGAAUUUUCAAGUAGCAGCCAUAUAUACCUGUCGAGAAUGUUUCAUGACAAAAAACAAUGCCAAGAUUUCUGAUCUGCCUGCUACUGAAAUAAAAUUUGCCUCAUUCAAAGGCACUAGAACAUUUAUAAGCAUAAGAACUACAUCCUCCAGAAGAAGAGGUUCAGCCUGAAUUUCCCAGGAACUGGAGUUCCACUCUGUCCUUUGAAUAUCUACCGGUUACUAAUAAUUUCCUCAGUUUGUAGGCUUGCUGCAGUAGGAGUGUUUGUGAUGUAUAGUUUUCAUAUGUAUAUACUCUGUGUAUGUCUAAGUCCCUAUUGUCCUCUAGAACACAAAUUUAAACCCACAUCAUGCUCCAGCAUCAGAGGCAUAUAAGGGAAGAAAGCUCCACCUGUCACAUGGACAAGCUGGACAAGGUUUUGGAUGCAUUUUCCCUCCAGCCAAGUCCACCACCACACAUUCCAUCAUAUCCUGCGAUGCUAUUAUGAACUACCGUUGAGCAGAGAAGUUAGUGACAAGCGCCCUCCUGGAAGGGGCUGUUGCAUGAGAUGGCCCAUUGGGAGCCAGGGGCAGCUGAGCUUUGAGUGUGCCACAGCAUUUUCCCUGCCCCCUGGCUUGCACUGCCCAUGGUAUCAGGGGCAUGGUGCUCCUCACCAGCAUGGCAAGUGGAAUCUGCAUCCUCCCUUCAAAAAUGUUUGGUACACAACCCAUCAUCCCUCCAUUACACUUCUCCUCUGACACCCAAUUCAGCUUCCAAGUCCUUUGGAUCAGCUGUUUAACGUGAGCCAGUGAAUUUAAACCUAGGUAUUACCCUUUUUUUUUCAUAAUCUAGGAUGACCAGGAUGACAAAGAAGCUGUGGCCUCCAUAGUGUUGUCAUUCAAGAAAGAAUUAACAUUGUAUGCCGUUCCUCCCUUCCACUUCAGAGCUGUGUGCAACCCUGCUCAGCUGAGAUUCCGAAAUGGACUCAGACUCCUUUCUAUUACAUAAGAAAAUUACCAUCAACAUUUUAUCACAUUCUUUGCCUCAGACUCCCUGUUAGUAACCAAUGAAAAAAAGAGACAGAGAGUGUGUGUGGGGGGUGGUGUCUUAACACUGCAGCAGCAUAAUGACAUCUGAUGGCCCAGUAAUUGAUACGAUCUCUCAAUGCAUACACUCUUGUCAUGGCAAUUAGAUCUGUAGUCUAAGCAUUUCUGGACUUUUUGCCAGGAAAGAAUUGGGAAAUUAAUGAAAGCAAAUUAAUUAUUUGUUUCCAUGGUUUCUGAUGUAAUAAUACAGCUGUUCUUUAUCAGCAUAAUUCACGAUUAAUGUCUCCCACAGCUCAGCUCAGAUUUAUGCCCAUGUUCUUUGCAUGCCACACUUCUGUUCUGAUUAAAUAUCAAGUGUUUUUUAAAUAUGAAAAUGGUUCUGCAUUUCCGAGAUCUGUUCUGGGCUGUGGCAAAAGGAAAACAAUAACUCCUUUUGAUCAUACACAUACGAGUUUUAUGUGAUGACACCAUCUUUGGCUCCUACAGAAGUAGUCCCAGUUUACACUUGCAUGAGGGGAAGCUAGAUUCUAUGCCACGGACUAUACCAGACUUCUCUACCAUGGCCCAAAUGUAGGCUUAGGAAAGUAAUCGGGAGUAAAGAAAGAUGUCUUUUUGCCAAGUUGGGCACCAGACACAGUAAUUCGAGUAGAUCAAUUUCAAAGAUCAGAAUGUUUAUAGCCAUUUAUUUAUUCCUGUCUUU
Molecule: long non-coding RNA, 5770 nt
Organism: Columba livia (rock pigeon)
Lineage: Eukaryota; Metazoa; Chordata; Aves; Columbiformes; Columbidae
Exons: 3
Source: RefSeq, a predicted model, not a curated record